UACGGGAGGCAGCAGUGGGGAAUCUUGCACAAUGGAGGAAACUCUGAUGCAGCGAUGCCGCGUGAGUGAAGAAGGCCCUUGGGUUGUAAAGCUCUUUCGUCGGGGAAGAAAAUGACUGUACCCGAAUAAGAAG
Molecule: ribosomal RNA, 133 nt
Filed under: uncultured bacterium
Lineage: Bacteria
Description: partial 16S ribosomal RNA
Rfam family: Bacterial small subunit ribosomal RNA
Source: RNAcentral